CUAAUACAUGCAAGUCGAGCGAACGGACGAGAAGCUUGCUUCUCUGAUGUUAGCGGCGGACGGGUGAGUAACACGUGGAUAACCUACCUAUAAGACUGGGAUAACUUCGGGAAACCGGAGCUAAUACCGGAUAAUAUUUUGAACCGCAUGGUUCAAAAGUGAAAGACGGUCUUGCUGUCACUUAUAGAUGGAUCCGCGCUGCAUUAGCUAGUUGGUAAGGUAACGGCUUACCAAGGCAACGAUGCAUAGCCGACCUGAGAGGGUGAUCGGCCACACUGGAACUGAGACACGGUCCAGACUCCUACGGGAGGCAGCAGUAGGGAAUCUUCCGCAAUGGGCGAAAGCCUGACGGAGCAACGCCGCGUGAGUGAUGAAGGUCUUCGGAUCGUAAAACUCUGUUAUUAGGGAAGAACAUAUGUGUAAGUAACUGUGCACAUCUUGACGGUACCUAAUCAGAAAGCCACGG
RNAcentral lists this ribosomal RNA (466 nucleotides) under Staphylococcus aureus. RNAcentral describes it as "bacterial SSU rRNA". It matches the Rfam family "Bacterial small subunit ribosomal RNA", at positions 48 to 496 of the family's 1533-position model. The record is from RNAcentral. Lineage: Bacteria; Bacillati; Bacillota; Bacilli; Caryophanales; Staphylococcaceae.